This is a long non-coding RNA of Nerophis ophidion (straightnose pipefish), 598 nucleotides long. RefSeq lists it as uncharacterized. The record is from RefSeq and is a predicted model, not a curated record. Lineage: Eukaryota; Metazoa; Chordata; Actinopteri; Syngnathiformes; Syngnathidae. The transcript is spliced from 4 exons.
CACAACAUGUGUGCUUCAGCAGGAUGUUCCUGACGGCUACCAUCGCUCUUUUACGCCGCCGAAAACUCACAGGAGAAAUAGCAGAGAAUCAGAAUGUGUAGACGUCUGAGUGUAUUUGCCUUUAAACGCCACACACAGGGCUGUCCCACAUGGCAUAUCUCUGACUGAGGACUAACUCCUCCCAUCAUCUCUUCAGGACAAGGCUAAAGCCUUCCUUGCUUCCUUUCGCCACCACUCUUCCUCUGCACAAAACAUAUCAGAUGAGCUGAAAGAGUGUCACUAGGGAGCUUUGCGUGAAGCUGCCAGGGAUGACGUAGUCGCCUCCCCAUGAGGAUAAGACAGAGGUGAAGCUUUCCUAUGGAUCACAGCAAACAUGGAUCCCAACCGAAUGUCAACCAGCAGGUUCUUGCUGCCGUCGACUUCCCUGAGACACUGCGCGUCAACACCCGGCAGUGGACGUACACUUCCGACUAUCAGGUACUGUUAAACUCACUAAAACACUAGCAACACAAUAGAAAGAUAAGGGAUUUUCCAGAAUUAUCCUAGUAAAUGUCUCUAAAAACAUAUGAAUCCGUCCCAAUGCAACGCGAUUGCAACU